Long non-coding RNA from Pollicipes pollicipes, 488 nucleotides. RefSeq lists it as uncharacterized. NCBI's taxonomy places the organism in Eukaryota, Metazoa, Arthropoda, Thecostraca, Pollicipedomorpha, Pollicipedidae. The record is from RefSeq and is a predicted model, not a curated record. The transcript has 3 exons.
GGCCAGCCGGCUCCGGCGCUCGGUCAGUCGCGAUCGGAGGCCGACGCCUCCACAGCUCCGGCGGUGCGCUCCUCGGCGACCGGGCCUCGCGUGCUGGUGACGCGGUGCGAGUCGACUCCGGACGCCGGCGAAGAGACGCCGUCAGCGGCGGGACGAGCGGGACUAGACUGCGAUACAGAACCGUGAAAGUUCACCAUGCUUCUGCGAAGACCACUUCUCGCCGCCCUGCUGGUAGCGCUGGCGGUGGCGCGGACGAGGAGGCGACCCAGGUGGCGCAAGAUGUGACCUCGGAGGAGCAGGCGGUGGUGCAGGGCGUGCUGGAGGAGGCGUCACAGCCGCAGCCGGCCGAGGCACGCUCGGAUGACGGCCUCGACCAGCUGGCGCUCGAGUCACAGCUGGACGAGCGCGACUCUGGAGGCGGCCACGGUCACGGCGCCGGUCACGGAGGCGGUCACGGCAGCAGCGUCAGCGGCCACGGCGGCGGCGGC